Molecule: transfer RNA, 65 nt
Filed under: Cercopithecus albogularis kolbi (Mount Kenya Sykes' monkey)
Lineage: Eukaryota; Metazoa; Chordata; Mammalia; Primates; Cercopithecidae
Description: tRNA-Arg
Rfam family: tRNA
About the family: Transfer RNA (tRNA) molecules are approximately 80 nucleotides in length. Their secondary structure includes four short double-helical elements and three loops (D, anti-codon, and T loops).
Source: RNAcentral
UGGUAAGUAGUUUAAACAAAACAAAUGAUUUCGACUCAUUAAAUUAUGAUAUCCAUACUAACCAA